CCUACGGGAGGCAGCAGUGGGGAAUAUUGGACAAUGGGCGAAAGCCUGAUCCAGCAAUGCCGCGUGAGUGAUGAAGGCCUUCGGGUCGUAAAGCUCUUUUACCAGGGAUGAUAAUGACAGUACCUGGAGAAUAAGCUCCGGCUAACUCCGUGCCAGCAGCCGCGGUAAUACGGAGGGAGCUAGCGUUGUUCGGAAUUACUGGGCGUAAAGAGUACGUAGGCGGUUAUUCAAGUCAGAGGUGAAAGCCCGGGGCUCAACCCCGGAACUGCCUUUGAAACUAGAUAACUAGAGUCUUGGAGAGGUUAGUGGAAUUCCGAGUGUAGAGGUGAAAUUCGUAGAUAUUCGGAAGAACACCAGUGGCGAAGGCGACUAACUGGACAAGUACUGACGCUGAGGUACGAAAGCGUGGGGAGCAAACAGGAUUAGAUACCCUGGUAGUCCACGCCGUAAACGAUGAUAACUAGUUGUUCGGUCACUUGGUGUACUGAGUGACGCGAGCUACGACAUUAAGUUAUACCGUCCGUCGGGUAGGUACGGUCGCGAGAAGUUAAACUUAAAUAGUAAGUUAGUACGGACGUGAGACGUGCGACGACGACGACGAGGGAGGUAGG
This 611-nucleotide ribosomal RNA is filed under the name uncultured bacterium. RNAcentral's name for it is "bacterial SSU rRNA". The stretch from base 1 to 521 matches the Rfam family "Bacterial small subunit ribosomal RNA", at positions 338 to 873 of the family's 1533-position model. The record is from RNAcentral.